This 396-nucleotide ribosomal RNA is filed under the name uncultured bacterium. RNAcentral's name for it is "bacterial SSU rRNA". It matches the Rfam family "Bacterial small subunit ribosomal RNA", at positions 28 to 404 of the family's 1533-position model. The record is from RNAcentral.
GACGAACGCUGGCGGCGCGCCUAACACAUGCAAGUCGAACGGAGUUUAUCCGACUGAAGUUUUCGGAUGGAAGAUGGAUAAACUUAGUGGCGGACGGGUGAGUAACACGUGAGCAACCUGCCUUUCAGAGGGGGAUAACGAUUGGAAACGAUCGCUAAUACCGCAUAACAUUAUGAGGAGACAUCUUCUUAUAAUCAAAGGAGCAAUCCGCUGAAAGAUGGGCUCGCGGCCGAUUAGCUAGAUGGCGGGUAACGGCCACCAUGGCGACGAUCGGUAGCCGGACUGAGAGGUUGAACGGCCACAUUGGGACUGAGACACGGCCCAGACUCCUACGGGAGGCAGCAGUGGGGGAUAUUGCACAAUGGGAGGAAACUCUGAUGCAGCGACGCCGCGUGA